CAUACUUCUUUAUGUACCCAUAUGAACAUACAAUGCUAUGGAAUGUAAAGAAGUAUGUA
Molecule: microRNA precursor, 59 nt
Filed under: Canis lupus familiaris (dog)
Lineage: Eukaryota; Metazoa; Chordata; Mammalia; Carnivora; Canidae
Description: microRNA cfa-mir-1 precursor (cfa-mir-1-2)
Gene: cfa-mir-1-2
Rfam family: mir-1 microRNA precursor family
About the family: This family represents the microRNA (miRNA) mir-1 family. miRNAs are transcribed as ~70nt precursors (modelled here) and subsequently processed by the Dicer enzyme to give a ~22nt product. In this case the mature sequence comes from the 3' arm of the precursor.
Source: miRBase by way of RNAcentral